GACGAACGCUGGCGGCGUGCUUAACACAUGCAAGUCGAACGGAAAGGCCCUGCUUUUGUGGGGUGCUCGAGUGGCGAACGGGUGAGUAACACGUGAGUAACCUGCCCUUGACUUUGGGAUAACUUCAGGAAACUGGGGCUAAUACCGGAUAGGAGCUCCUGCUGCAUGGUGGGGGUUGGAAAGUUUCGGCGGUUGGGGAUGGACUCGCGGCUUAUCAGCUUGUUGGUGGGGUAGUGGCUUACCAAGGCUUUGACGGGUAGCCGGCCUGAGAGGGUGACCGGCCACAUUGGGACUGAGAUACGGACCAGACUGCUACGGGAGGCAGCAGUGGGGAAUAUUGCACAAUGGGCGGAAGCCUGAUGCAGCAACGCCGCGUGCGGGAUGACGGCCUUCGGGUUGUAAACCGCUUUGGCCUGUGACGAAGCGUGAGUGACGGUAAUGGGUAAAGAAGCACCGGCUAACUACGUG
This 468-nucleotide ribosomal RNA is filed under the name uncultured bacterium. RNAcentral's name for it is "partial 16S ribosomal RNA". It matches the Rfam family "Bacterial small subunit ribosomal RNA", at positions 28 to 507 of the family's 1533-position model. The record is from RNAcentral.